GGCUGAAUAGCUCAGUGGUAAGAGCAGUCGUCCAGCAAGCGAAAGACUCGCGUUCGAGUCCCAAUUCAGCGA
Molecule: transfer RNA, 72 nt
Filed under: Camponotus floridanus (Florida carpenter ant)
Lineage: Eukaryota; Metazoa; Arthropoda; Insecta; Hymenoptera; Formicidae
Rfam family: tRNA
About the family: Transfer RNA (tRNA) molecules are approximately 80 nucleotides in length. Their secondary structure includes four short double-helical elements and three loops (D, anti-codon, and T loops). Further hydrogen bonds mediate the characteristic L-shaped molecular structure. tRNAs have two regions of fundamental functional importance: the anti-codon, which is responsible for specific mRNA codon recognition, and the 3' end, to which the tRNAs corresponding amino acid is attached (by aminoacyl-tRNA synthetases). tRNAs cope with the degeneracy of the genetic code in two manners: having more than one tRNA (with a specific anti-codon) for a particular amino acid; and 'wobble' base-pairing, i.e. permitting non-standard base-pairing at the 3rd anti-codon position.
Source: Rfam by way of RNAcentral